This 258-nucleotide ribosomal RNA is filed under the name uncultured Anoxybacillus sp. RNAcentral's name for it is "partial 16S ribosomal RNA". It matches the Rfam family "Bacterial small subunit ribosomal RNA", at positions 1126 to 1382 of the family's 1533-position model. Lineage: Bacteria; Bacillati; Bacillota; Bacilli; Caryophanales; Anoxybacillaceae. The record is from RNAcentral.
UUCAGUUGGGCACUCUAAGGUGACUGCCGGCUAAAAGUACGGAGGAAGGUGGGGAGUGACGUCAAAUCAUCAUGCCCUUAUGACCUGGGCUACACACGUGCUACAAUGGGCGGUACAAAGGGUCGCGAACCCGCGAGGGGGAGCCAAUCCCAAAAAGCCGCUCUCAGUUCGGAUUGCAGGCUGCAACUCGCCUGCAUGAAGCCGGAAUCGCUAGUAAUCGCGGAUCAGCAUGCCGCGGUGAAUACGUUCCCGGGCCUU